AGCUUUAUAGCUAGCCCGCUCAAACAACUUCAACAAACCCCUGUUAAUACCCCCUAAGUACACUAGUAUUUAUAUUAAACAAACCAUUUUUCCCCCUUAGUAUAGGCGAUAGAAAAGGGCCCACGGCGCAAUAGAGAAAGUACCGCAAGGGAAUGCUGAAAGAGAAGUGAAAUAACCCAGUGAAGCCUAAAAAAGCAGAGAUUAAAACUCGUACCUUUUGCAUCAUGAUUUAGCAAGUGUAACCCAAGCAAAGAGUGCUUUAGUUUGACGUCCCGAAACUAAGUGAGCUACUCCAAGACAGCCUAUUAAUAGGGCACACCCGUCUCUGUGGCAAAAGAGUGGGGGGAGCUUUGAGUAGAGGUGACAGACCUACCGAACCUAGUUAUAGCUGGUUGUCCAAGAAAUGAAUAGAAGUUCAGCCUCCCGGCUUCUCUUUUCACUUUAGAUUAACCCCUAUUGAUGUACUUAAGAAACCGAAAGAGUUAGUCAAAGGGGGUACAGCCCCUUUGAACAAAGACACAACUUUACCAGGAGGGUAAAGAUCAUAAUAAACCAAAGGUAAAUAUUUGGGUGGGCCUAAAAGCAGCCAUCCCCUUAGAAAGCGUUAUAGCUCAAAUAUACCCGUUAACCCUUCUUAUUCUGAUCACCAAAUCUUAUCCCCCUAAACAUACUGGACCCUCCCAUGCCCACAUGGGAGUGAUUAUGCUAAUAUGAGUAAUAAGAGGGCCUCGGCCCUCUCCCUGCACACGUGUACGUCGGAACGGACAUCCCGCCGACCAUUAACGGCCCCAAAAAAAGAGGGCACUGAAUAAUAGAUCAAACAACAAGAAAAACAUUCAGAAAUUUAACCGUUAACCCAACACAGGUGUGCCCGUAGGGAAAGACUAAAAGAAAGAGAAGGAACUCGGCAAACACAUUAAAGCCUCGCCUGUUUACCAAAAACAUCGCCUCUUGCAAACUUAAUAAAUAAGAGGUCCCGCCUGCCCUGUGACUAUUAGUUUAACGGCCGCGGUAUUUUGACCGUGCGAAGGUAGCGCAAUCACUUGUCUUUUAAAUGAAGACCUGUAUGAAUGGCAUAACGAGGGCUUAACUGUCUCCUCUCUCCAGUCAAUGAAAUUGAUCUUCCCGUGCAGAAGCGGGAAUACAAACAUAAGACGAGAAGACCCUAUGGAGCUUUAGACACCAAGACAGAUCAUGUUAAUAACCCUAAUUAAAGGACUAAACCAAGUGGAACCUGCCCUAAUGUCUUUGGUUGGGGCGACCGCGGGGAAUUGAAAAACCCCCACGUGGAAUGGGAGCACCCCUCCUACAACUAAGAACUACAGCUCUAGUAAACAGAAAUUCUGACCAGUAAGAUCCGGCAAUGCCGAUCAACGGACCGAGUUACCCUAGGGAUAACAGCGCAAUCCUCUUUUAGAGCCCAUAUCGACAAGGGGGUUUACGACCUCGAUGUUGGAUCAGGACAUCCUAAUGGUGCAGCCGCUAUUAAGGGUUCGUUUGUUCAACGAUUAAAGUCCUACGUGAUCUGAGUUCAGACCGGAGUAAUCCAGGUCAGUUUCUAUCUAUGCUAUGCUCUUUUCUAGUACGAAAGGACCGAAAAGAAGAGGCCCAUGCUCAAGGCACGCCUCCCCCUUACCUAGUGAAGUCAACUAAAGUAGGCAAAAGGGCAUGCCCCGCCAGCCUGAGAAAAAGGCAU
RNAcentral lists this ribosomal RNA (1696 nucleotides) under Acantholumpenus mackayi (pighead prickleback). Its description in RNAcentral is "16S ribosomal RNA". It matches the Rfam family "Bacterial large subunit ribosomal RNA". Lineage: Eukaryota; Metazoa; Chordata; Actinopteri; Perciformes; Stichaeidae. The record is from RNAcentral.